CCUUGCCUUGGUCCCUGAGAACCGUCUUCCGACCCUUCCUCCUUCGGUGCUGACUGCUCCCGCGGCUCUUUACGCUGAGAUGUUUCACUGACUUCUGCCUGAGAUCUGGAAAAGGAACACUGCCCAAUAGAUGAACAUGUGUGAAAAAUAACUUCCAAGGAACAUCAUGUGCGCAGGGACUGUGCUAAACAGAAAACUGUCAGUCACUGCGGGAAUGUGCCUCCCUGAUCGCCGCGAUCGCCCGCUGCCGCAGCUGUUUCUCCUUCACACGCAUAGGCUCCCUGUCUUGCAUGGGAGGGAGCAGACCCAGGGGACACCAGACCAACUUGAGUUCACAUGGGUUGACUAUCCACACCUCUCUCCUCUGUCUUUGGUAUCCCGUGAAGUGUGCUGUGUCUCCUCUACCCUGUGAUUCCUGUUCAUCUCAGGAAGCAGCUGAAAGGGUCAGGAAGGUCCUGGGACAUUAAACUACUGUUUGGAUGAUGUUUGUCUACACUCAUUUUCUGGGGAAUGAUGCGGCUGCCAGACCACGUUAGUGGUCAACUGUCAGGAG
Molecule: long non-coding RNA, 553 nt
Filed under: Mus musculus (house mouse)
Lineage: Eukaryota; Metazoa; Chordata; Mammalia; Rodentia; Muridae
Source: RNAcentral